UCCUAAGUGUUGUCCCGGUUUUCCAGGAUUUCCAUAUUGUCAGCCUACUUCAAAGUCCCUACCUUCUGGUGUGUGGCUCUUUAUCAUACCAUGCCCAGCUGAUCCUGACCUUGCAGUAAAAUCUAGUGAGAAUAGCUGAAACACACAGACUCUGGACAACCUGGCUGCUUCUUUCUCCACCUGAGCUGCAAGGCAGUCACUCAGGACAGCCAGAUGUGAGUGUCUAGCACCAACUGGAACCCUGAGUGGAAAGGGUGGGAUAUAGGGGAGGAGGAGCCCCACAGAAGACAUUGACCUAUGCCAACUUCAGCCAACUCUCUUUGAGCAGGAUUUUGGCUCUGCUGCCACCACCUUUGUGAUGUGCCAAUCUGGUGGAAUCUUGCUUCUCAGCUUCCCCAGGGGAGGGUUCAUCUUUGUUGCUCAUAAGCAGCACAGAAUCUGAUACAGAUUGUGAUCCUGGGACUGGCCAAGGAAACUGUACGACUCCAGGUGGAUGCCAGCAGUGGUGAUAGCAGCUAUGAAAACACUGAUAUUUUCACAGAUUGUGGGACGCAGUCUCACAUCCAAUACACAUGAGCUGUUUCCUCAUCAAUAAAUGCAGAAAAAACCCCUCAUAAAAUGGUAAGUGAGGAGGGAAGUUGAGUUUGUCAGGAUCUCUUGCAAGGCUUCUGUUUGAUCUGAGUUUCCCCCACAGGGAGUUCAUAAGCAGGGUAGUAAAUUUGCUUUCAGCUCAGUUCAUUCUUUUGAUCUCUGCAUAAAAGAAUGCUUUCUUCCUUACAGAAACUAAUGCAUUGAUUUAGUUUUCUUCCCCUGUCUGUACUCUGGUUGGGAAAUCCUAAUGCCUCUUUUUUCUGUCUGAGGUAUAGUCUGUAUUUGGCAAACAGCUUAUUUAACCUGUCAGGGAAAUGCCAAAUAUUAUGGAUUAUGGACACCGUGGACCCAUCUUUUAUAGACAAGGCUAAUUCCACAGUGCACCAGAGGCCAGCGAUAGGCCCGUCCUCUUCCGUAUAGUGGACAAAGUGGCCAAGGCUACCUUUGCUUGAACUCCACACAGGCCAGGCACAGAGGGAACAGGGGUUUGCCAUCUAUCCCAAAUGACAGCCAAGGGUAAAAAGAGCCCUCCUGGCAGAUAUACUUUAAUUUGGAGAGUUCCAAAGAACUCUGUAGGCAUGGUUGAUUGCUUGUAAAUGAAUGCAGGGUGCUCAGUUGGGUCUUCCUGGAUCCUGUUUAUAUAUGAGCACAGUUUCUUCCAACGGAUGAUGGGAGUAGCCAAUUUCUCUCUCUCUCUCUUUCCUUCCCCCUGGGAAAAAUGUAUGGGUGAGGGGGUUUAACAUUUAAUCCUGUAUGCAGCCUUGUGGACUGUGGCAUGAUGUUAUUUGAGUUACUUGAGCACAGCAACAUCAUGCGUCAUGAUUAUUAGAAUGGUUUUUCACAGCCAGAGCAGUGUUGGGACCAAUUUUUUUUUUUUUAAAGAAAGUGUUAUUUCUCAUGUAACUUUCUUAUCCAAUCCAAAAAGCUCUGCAUCAGUGAGUUUCUCUCUGACUACAACAACCAUCAUGCCUACCAUGUACUGGAUAUUUCCACGCUUUUUUAAAUCUACUAGGAACAUCUCUUAUGAUAAAUGAUCUGGUUAUAAGUCUUCAUUUUUCACUCCCACCUGUGUUUUUUAUAAUAAUCAUAGUGAUGCAUAACUUCCCAUUCCUCAUUAUCUCAUCAUUAUUCCGAAGUAGAUGAUAGACCUGGGCUAGGAACUAUUCUAAGCUUAGAGGACCCUUAUAUCUCCUGAUUGAAUACAAAGGAUCCUUCAACCCUCUCACAUUCAAAGUCAGCCGUGCAUCUGGCUCUAUUUGGGAGUAAGUCCUAUCAAGU
Molecule: long non-coding RNA, 1869 nt
Organism: Gavialis gangeticus (Gharial)
Lineage: Eukaryota; Metazoa; Chordata; Crocodylia; Gavialidae
Exons: 3
Source: RefSeq, a predicted model, not a curated record